GAUGAACGCUGGCGGCGUGCCUAAUACAUGCAAGUCGAGCGAACAGACGAGGAGCUUGCUCCUCUGACGUUAGCGGCGGACGGGUGAGUAACACGUGGAUAACCUACCUAUAAGACUGGGAUAACUUCGGGAAACCGGAGCUAAUACCGGAUAAUAUAUUGAACCGCAUGGUUCAAUAGUGAAAGACGGUUUUGCUGUCACUUAUAGAUGGAUCCGCGCCGCAUUAGCUAGUUGGUAAGGUAACGGCUUACCAAGGCAACGAUGCGUAGCCGACCUGAGAGGGUGAUCGGCCACACUGGAACUGAGACACGGUCCAGACUCCUAAGGGAGGCAGCAGUAGGGAAUCUUACGCAAUGGGCGAAAGCCUGACGGAGCAACGCCGCGUGAGUGAUGAAGGUCUUCGGAUCGUAAAACUCUGUUAUUAGGGAAGAACAAAUGUGUAAGUAACUAUGCACGUCUUGACGGUACAUAAUCAGAAAGACACGGCUAACUACGUG
RNAcentral lists this ribosomal RNA (497 nucleotides) under uncultured bacterium. RNAcentral's name for it is "partial 16S ribosomal RNA". It matches the Rfam family "Bacterial small subunit ribosomal RNA", at positions 28 to 507 of the family's 1533-position model. The record is from RNAcentral.